This 492-nucleotide ribosomal RNA is filed under the name uncultured bacterium. RNAcentral's name for it is "partial 16S ribosomal RNA". It matches the Rfam family "Bacterial small subunit ribosomal RNA", at positions 29 to 507 of the family's 1533-position model. The record is from RNAcentral.
AGUGAACGCUGGCGGUAGGCCUAACACAUGCAAGUCGAACGGCAGCACAGUAAGAGCUUGCUCUUACGGGUGGCGAGUGGCGGACGGGUGAGGAAUACAUCGGAAUCUACUUUUUCGUGGGGGAUAACGAAGGGAAACUUACGCUAAUACCGCAUACGACCUACGGGUGAAAGCAGGGGAUCUUCGGACCUUGCGCGAUUGAAUGAGCCGAUGUCGGAUUAGCUAGUUGGCGGGGUAAAGGCCCACCAAGGCGACGAUCCGUAGCUGGUCUGAGAGGAGGAUCAGCCACACUGGAACUGAGACACGGUCCAGACUCCUGCGGGAGGCAGCAGUGGGGAAUAUUGGGCAGUGGGCGCAAGCCUGAUCCAGCCAUACCGCGUGUGUGAAGAAGGCCUUCGGGUUGUAAAGCCCUUUUGUUGGGAAAGAAAAGCAUCAGGUUAAUACCCCGCUGUUCUGACGGUACCUAAAGAAUAAGCACCGGCUAACUUCGUG